Long non-coding RNA from Gasterosteus aculeatus aculeatus (three-spined stickleback), 2032 nucleotides. The record is from Ensembl. NCBI's taxonomy places the organism in Eukaryota, Metazoa, Chordata, Actinopteri, Perciformes, Gasterosteidae.
GUUCCAGUGGGAGACAGCAGCGGUGUGUUCGGUGCGCUUGACCGUGUGCACAACGAGCUUUAGCUGUUAGCAGCUAGCUUUAGCCCAACUAUCUACAGACACCUUUGUUUUAGCCAAGUGGACAUUGACAUAUACAACGUUUUCCUGUUAGGGAAUCCUACAUAUUAUUUGACUCACAUAGAAGUGGUUAUGAAAAAUAAAUCAAUGCACACACAAGAUUCAGAACAGACAAAAAAUAUUAGACAAGAGAGCUCAGGGUAUUUUUUGAGAACCACAAGUUGGAGCUCAAAACAUAAAAAUGUGCUUGAUUCCAUCUCUCUCUAAAUGAGCCGCUCUUUGACCCUUGCAUGAAGCAAAACAAUGAUUAUUUCUCUGAUUCACUGCUUCCACCAGUCAAUAAGUAUACGUCUUUAUCUAAAAAGAAACAACUAACCUUCACAUAUAUAUCUGUUUGUCAUUUUGAACCUCUGUAUUGGGUUUUAGUUUGCUUUGUAAAUACUUUGCAUUUUUGGGGGUUCAAUAUGAUUUAUCUUUUCGGUGAAAUUUGGUAUAAUUUCUUGCUUGUUUUGUUCAUAUUACAUAGACAUCUUUUCUCUUUGGGGUCAUUGUUUCUGCUUCUCUUUGGUGUUGCUGCUUCUCUCUGAGGUCAUUUUCUGGUGGCCGGCUGCUCGCUGAGAGAUGAUUUGCUGGAGUUUGAGCUGAAAGAGUUUCUGAUGAAGGUCAAUGAUUUCAGUUCGACACGUUGGCGUCAAACAAUUUGCAUAUAAUUUCUUUUGAGUUACUUUUAUUUUGUUAAACAUGUGCUUCUAAAUCCAAUUAGCUGUAUCCAUUGAUUCUGACCUCUUCACUAGCAGACAGUCCUGCUGUGCACAACAAACCUCCAUUCCACCACACAAACAUUGUUUCAGACUAACAUGACCAUAGAUAACAGUGGGACAUAAUCAAUUGUUAAAACAUUUGUUUUUAAAUAAAAGUGCAUUCUUUGUACUUGGGCUUCUAAGUUUCUCGUCUAAAUAUCACAAUAAUAAUAAUAAUAGAAAACAUACCUGCACGGUGGCUGGAUGCAUAAUUUCUGAUCUUGUAAGUAGCUUCUCAAAUGCAUUUCAUUUUGUGGCAUUACAACUAGUGUAUAAGCCAAUCUCGCAUCAAUAUGCCAUCUCUAUAAGAACUCAAAUGAGUUGGUAUUAGCGAAUUACCAUUUAAAGGAGAGCGUUCUAUAUCUUUAGCAAUGUUUAAAUAAUUGAACUAAUAGGACUUGUGACUGCCGUUCAGCUUUUGAAAUGUUUUCAAUUUUUUUUUACGUUUGAUCUGUUCUUACAAUGUCAUCAGGUAUCAUUAUCUUGAUAUUGUUUAACUUUUAUUUAUUUUUGACGUUUGAUUUGGUUGAUCUUGCUUCUACAGUGUAUUUAUUUAUUACCUUUUUUGAAUGUUGCUGUAUCAGAAAGUGCAGAAGUUCUUCAGGUUUGAUUCUGAUUUGAGAGCAGAAAGAAACACGGAGAAAAGGAUUUGGUUUCUUAUUUUAAUGAUUGGACUGACUCACUGAUUGACUACUGGAGCUUUAAAACCUCUGUUUGAUAUUUACAAAAGUGAGACCUAAAAGAUUGUGUGUGAGUCAGUAGUGUUUGAGGACGUGAAAAGCACGGCGGGGAACACUGUACAAUAUUGAAUGGUUGAUGGAAUUUACAAAUUAGAAAUACAGACUUUGAAUCUGUCCUACAUUAAAUACAAUAAAUGAAGAACAAAAAAGAGAAUUGGCAGCCUAACGUCUACCAAAUACAAUUUCAACUAUAUUAAGAUCAUCCAAGUGGGUGUAGUGUAUGACAAACAGUUUGUGGUUUGAACACUUUGAAGGAGCAAAGACCAGUAAGAGCUAGCAGCCUAACGUGAGUGCGAUACAAAUAGAUCAUUUGAAUGACAUCUGUCCUCACUUAAGUAUUACUCAAGCUCUUACCUAAAUUAACCUUAUUGACUAAGUGCAUUUCGAUGCUUUAGGAGAAACCGAUAACUAUGCUCAAGCACACUGUGCACACUU